RNAcentral lists this ribosomal RNA (366 nucleotides) under Triticum aestivum (bread wheat). RNAcentral's name for it is "partial small subunit ribosomal RNA". The record is from RNAcentral. Lineage: Eukaryota; Viridiplantae; Streptophyta; Magnoliopsida; Poales; Poaceae.
AUGGCGCGCUCCUUCUCCACAUCCUUCGUGUUCGCCAUUUCGUCCAGGUACGAUGGCCCGACCGGCUAUGGGCUUGCGUUCGUGGUCGCCCUGACCUCGAACCUCUCAGCUGCCAACAGCGGGCCGUACCUUGGCCUCCUCAACGCGACCAACGGCACGGCAAGCGAUCACAUCUUGGCGGUCGAGCUCGACACCAUCAUGAACAUCGCGUUCCGUGACAUCAACAGCAAUCACGUCAGCAUCGACGUCAACAGCCUCAUCUCACCGCAGGCCAAGCCGGCCAGGUACUACAGCAAUGAGAACGGCGCCUUUCAACAGCUCAAUCUAAACAGCCGCCAACUGUUCCCAGGUGUGGGUAGACUAUGA